CCUACGGGAGGCAGCAGUGAGGAAUAUUGGUCAAUGGGCGCGAGCCUGAACCAGCCAAGUAGCGUGAAGGAUGACUGCCCUAUGGGUUGUAAACUUCUUUUAUAAAGGAAUAAAGUGAGGCACGUGUGCCUGUUUGUAUGUACUUUAUGAAUAAGGAACGGCUAAACACGUGCCAGCCGCCGCGGUAAAAAGGAGGAUCCGAGCGUUAACCGGAUUUAUUGGGUUUAAAGGGAGCGUAGAUGGGUUGUUAAGUCAGUGGUGAAAGUUUGCGGCUCAACCGUAAAAUUGCAAUUGAUACUGGCAGUCUUGAGUACAGUUGAGGUAGGCGGAAUGCGUGGUGUAGCGGUGAAAUGCUUAGAUAUCACGAAGAACUCCGAUUGCGAAGGCAGCUUACUAAACUGCCACUGACAUUGAUGCUCGAAAGUGUGGGUAUCAAACAGGAUUAGAUACCCGAGUAGUC
Molecule: ribosomal RNA, 460 nt
Filed under: uncultured bacterium
Lineage: Bacteria
Description: partial 16S ribosomal RNA
Rfam family: Bacterial small subunit ribosomal RNA
Source: RNAcentral